UAGCUGUUUCCAGAAGUGUAUAUAUAAAAAAAUCCCUACAACUACAGAUGCAAUAAUCAAUCUGUCAGAGAUCGGAAUUGGCCAAUUAGCCCUUACUUGGCUCUAAACUGUGAUCAGGUCAAAUGCUAAAAAUCUUAUUUAUCCCCUACUCCUUAAAUAAAUUAAAACGUUGAGCAUUUUCCAUGUAUAAACUAAAACAUCAAGCAACAGAUUGUACUUUGAUAAACUUUGUUUUGAGUUUAUUAAAACUAGAAGAUUAGAGACACAUGCUUAGAUGUGUAAAUAAGGAUAAUCUUGCACUUCUUUCAUUUUCUGUGGGGUUCUAAACUAUCCAUCACAGUCCCUGCAGAAUAUUUCGUUACUUCCUGUUCCUCAGUGCUGAAUGGGCAGGUCACAGCUCAAAGAAAAUCUUAAAUUUGGACCUCUGGACACAUGAAGAAGAAAACACCAAGAUGCACCUACAAUACUGAAAAAUGCAAAGUAACAGAUAUCAGCAGCUACAGGCAGUUUGUAAGAAAUGCACAACACAGAGUUUGAUGAGUUUAAACAUUAAUGUGUGAAUGAUUAGAAAAGCCAGCAGGAAAAACACUCAGUUAUAAACCUACUGCUUGCUUUGGGGUUUUCCUCUGGUGUUAUUAGUCUUAUUUUGACUAAAUUCAAGGUACUACCUGCAUGUACUUGGCAUAAUAUGUACACCUUUAUAUGAGGACAGCAGGUUUGUUAAAAAAGAUGUGCCAAAUGAAACAGCCAUUGUUUAAUACUGGUCAGUACUUCCUGGAGCUAUUUAAAUCAAUAAAGGUUCCUCGUAGCAGAGAUGUUUCACAACCUAGCACCACAGACGAUCUCAUAUAAAUAGCAAAUGUUCGCUUAUCUGGAGAAGACAAACAGCAGCGAGUAUUUGGCUCUGUUUGUUUUUAUUUCCUUUAUUUGUUAAACUUUUUGUUCUGACUGUUUGCUUUCCACCUCCAGCCUAGUAUUCCUAAAACUUGUUAGCUGUCGUGUCGCUAGCAGAACCGAGCUAACUGUCGCCCAGUUACCCCGGGUCCAACAGAAAACUGUCCCACCAGUGUCCCAGCUUCCCGCACCGCCGUGGGACGAGGGAACAGCUGGACCCCUGCGUAUCUGGAAUCUUUGUUAGAUGUUUCACCUGUUUCACUGUGAUGCUUGGAGACAGCUCCUCACGCGGUACAUUCAGCCAUGUGCAACAGCCAAAUAACGCCGCAUGGCUUCAAGAUGUCUCGUGUUGGAUGACCCGGGUUAUUGCCUUUUUACAACAAAGAAGCUUUCACCCACCUGUGAGCCAAUCAGGUCAGCAGUUCCAUUGAAAAGCAUUGCAAAGCUGAAGAAGUAUACACAACGAGGCCGAACCCAUUUCAGUCCAGCAAUCACACCACAGGAGCAACAAGAGGCUUCAUGAGGGCCCCGCACACACAGCAGUUCAAUAGAAGCCCACCAAGAAUGAGGAAACCUCCCCUCCAUCCAUACUGGUACUGAAGAACCUGACCCAGAGGCGAGAGGCAGCACAGGAC
Molecule: long non-coding RNA, 1529 nt
Organism: Girardinichthys multiradiatus
Lineage: Eukaryota; Metazoa; Chordata; Actinopteri; Cyprinodontiformes; Goodeidae
Exons: 4
Source: RefSeq, a predicted model, not a curated record